This 475-nucleotide ribosomal RNA is filed under the name uncultured bacterium. RNAcentral's name for it is "bacterial SSU rRNA". It matches the Rfam family "Bacterial small subunit ribosomal RNA", at positions 28 to 508 of the family's 1533-position model. The record is from RNAcentral.
GACGAACGCUGGCGGCGUGCCUAACACAUGCAAGUCGAGCGAGGUCCAUUCGGUAGCAAUACCGAAGAAGACCUAGCGGCGAACGGGUGAGUAACACGUGAGAAACCUGCCCCAAAGUCUGGGAUAACCCGGGGAAACCCGAGCUAAUACCGGAUACCUUCUUUUGAUCGCAUGGUCAGUUGAAGAAAGUUUUUUCGCUUUGGGAGGGUCUCGCGGCCUAUCAGUUUGUUGGUGGGGUAACGGCCUACCAAGACAUCGACGGGUAGCUGGUCUGAGAGGACGAUCAGCCACACUGGGACUGAGACACGGCCCAGACUCCUACGGGAGGCAGCAGUGGGGAAUCUUGCGCAAUGGGCGAAAGCCUGACGCAGCAACGCCGCGUGCGGGAUGACGGCCUUCGGGUUGUAAACCGCUUUCAGCAGGGACGAAGCGAAAGUGACGGUACCUGGAGAAGAAGCACCGGCCAACUACGUGC